This 1366-nucleotide long non-coding RNA is filed under the name Salmo salar (Atlantic salmon). RNAcentral describes it as "lncRNA (ENSSSAG00000063384.2)". Lineage: Eukaryota; Metazoa; Chordata; Actinopteri; Salmoniformes; Salmonidae. The record is from RNAcentral.
GGGGGCUCGUAAAAGGAAAUGGAUGUACAGUACCAGUCAAAAGUUUGGACACACCUACUCAUUCAAGGGUUUGUCUUUAUUUUUACUAUUUUCUGUAGCAAUGACCUCCAAUUAGAGAAAGCUGGUUGUUGUUGUCUCUAAUUAGAGGCCAUAUUUAGUUGUGUUCGUUUCACUUGUGUUUUGUGGGUGGUUGUUUUCUGUAUAGCCGUGUGCCUUACAGAACUGUUGAUUGUCGUUUGUUAUUUUUGUUUAAGUGUUCACUCUAAAUAAAUACACAAAGAUGAGCACUAUACCCGCUGCGUUUUGGUCACCUUUUAUCGACGCCUGUGACAGAACCACCCACCAAAGAAGGACCAAGCAGUGGAGGAAGGAGCAGCAGGAGAGCUAUUUGGAGUCAUGGACAUGGGAGGAGAUCCUCGAUGGUAAGGGUCCAUGGAGCCAGGCUGGGGAGUACCAGCGCCUGAAGGAGGAGCUGGAGGAAGCUAAGAGGGAACGACGGAGGUAUGAGGCAGCCCCAAAAUUAUUUGGGGGGGGGGAGGCAUACGGGGAGUUGGGCUAAGUCAGGGGGGAGCCCUGACCUAACUUCCCGGGCAUACAGGAGAGAGCCGUGGAGCAAAAAGGAGCCAGUCAAGGAAUCAAGCGAGGAGCUUGACGCGAGAUUCCGGAGAGAGGUACUGGCGGAAAGGCCACGAAGGAGCACCUGUGCUUACUAUGGGGAGCGACGGAUCAAGCAAGCACCAUGUUAUGCGGAGAUACGCACGGUAUCGCCAGUGCGCAGCUACAGCCCAGUGCGCUUGGUGAAAGCUCCUCACAGGUGUCAUGCUAGAGCCAGCAUCGAGCCAGGACAGGUGAUGCAAGAUGCAAGCAUCAGACCGCCGGUGAGGGUUCAUGGCCCAGUGUAUCCUGUUCCUGCUCCUCGUACUCUUCCUCCAGUGAGUCAGCCCAGUCCAGUAUGUCCUGUUCCUGCUCUCUGCACUAGCCUUGAGGUGCGUGUUACUAGUCUAGCGCCUCCAAAGUCAGCCCCACGCAUCAGGCCUCCAGUGUGUCUGCCCAGUCCGGUAUGUCCUGUUCCUACUCCUCGCACUAGCCCUGUGGUGCGUGUUACUGUUCUGGCUCCUCCAAAGCCAGCCCCACGCUUCAGGCCUCCAGUGCGCCUGCCCAGCCCAGUACGUCCUGUUCCUCGCACUAGCCCUGUGGUGCGGGUUACUAGUCUGGUGUCUCCAAAGCCACCCCCACGCAUCAGGCCUCCAGUGUGUCUGCCCAGUCCGGUACGUCCUGUUCCUGCUCCUCGCACUAGCCCUGUGGUGCGGGUUACUAGUCUGGCGACUCCUAAGCCAGCCCCACGCAUCAGGCCUCCAGUGCGCAG